RNAcentral lists this ribosomal RNA (449 nucleotides) under uncultured bacterium. Its description in RNAcentral is "partial 16S ribosomal RNA". It matches the Rfam family "Bacterial small subunit ribosomal RNA", at positions 29 to 523 of the family's 1533-position model. The record is from RNAcentral.
AACGAACGCUGGCGGCAUGCCUAACACAUGCAAGUCGAACGAGAUCUUCGGGUCUAGUGGCGCACGGGUGCGUAACGCGUGGGAAUCUGCCCUUUGGCUCGGAAUAACAGGUGGAAACGACUGCUAAUACCGUAAGAUGAGGAAAGUCCACAGGUUUAUCGCCAGAGGAUGAGCCCGCGUAGGAUUAGCUAGUUGGUGUGGUAAAGGCGCACCAAGGCGACGAUCCUUAGCUGGUCUGAGAGGAUGAUCAGCCACACUGGGACUGAGACACGGCCCAGACUCCUACGGGAGGCAGCAGUGGGGAAUAUUGGACAAUGGGCGAAAGCCUGAUCCAGCAAUGCCGCGUGAGUGAUGAAGGCCUUAGGGUUGUAAAGCUCUUUUACCCGGGAUGAUAAUGACAGUACCGGGAGAAUAAGCUCCGGCUAACUCCGUGCCAGCAGCAGCCGCCG